This 430-nucleotide ribosomal RNA is filed under the name Chloroflexota bacterium. RNAcentral's name for it is "Chloroflexi bacterium partial 16S ribosomal RNA". It matches the Rfam family "Bacterial small subunit ribosomal RNA", at positions 355 to 776 of the family's 1533-position model. The record is from RNAcentral. Lineage: Bacteria; Bacillati; Chloroflexota.
UGGGGAAUAUUGCACAAUGGGCGCAAGCCUGAUGCAGCCAUGCCGCGUGUGUGAAGAAUGCCUUCGGGUUGUAAAGCACUUUCAGCGGGGAGGAAGGCGUUAAGGUUAAUAACCUUUGCUCAUUGACGUUACCCGCAGAAGAAGCACCGGCUAACUCCGUGCCAGCAGCCGCGGUAAUACGGAGGGUGCAAGCGUUAAUCGGAAUUACUGGGCGUAAAGCGCACGCAGGCGGUUUGUUAAGUCAGAUGUGAAAUCCCCGGGCUCAACCUGGGAACUGCAUCUGAGACUGGAAAGCUUGAGUCUCGUAGAGGGGGGUAGAAUUCCAGGUGUAGCGGUGAAAUGCGUAGAGAUCUGGAGAACUACCGGUGGCGAAGGCGGCCACCUGGACGAAGACUGACGCUCAGGUGCGAAAGCGUGGGGAGCAAACAGG